Molecule: transfer RNA, 70 nt
Filed under: Camelus bactrianus (Bactrian camel)
Lineage: Eukaryota; Metazoa; Chordata; Mammalia; Artiodactyla; Camelidae
Also listed under: 2 other names
Rfam family: tRNA
About the family: Transfer RNA (tRNA) molecules are approximately 80 nucleotides in length. Their secondary structure includes four short double-helical elements and three loops (D, anti-codon, and T loops). Further hydrogen bonds mediate the characteristic L-shaped molecular structure. tRNAs have two regions of fundamental functional importance: the anti-codon, which is responsible for specific mRNA codon recognition, and the 3' end, to which the tRNAs corresponding amino acid is attached (by aminoacyl-tRNA synthetases). tRNAs cope with the degeneracy of the genetic code in two manners: having more than one tRNA (with a specific anti-codon) for a particular amino acid; and 'wobble' base-pairing, i.e. permitting non-standard base-pairing at the 3rd anti-codon position.
Source: Rfam by way of RNAcentral
GGGUAUAGCUCAGUGGUAGAGUGUGUGCCUAGCAUGCAUGAAUUCCUGGGUUCAAUCCUCAGUACCUCCA